This 757-nucleotide unclassified non-coding RNA is filed under the name Zea mays. RNAcentral's name for it is "misc RNA Zm00001eb050960". Lineage: Eukaryota; Viridiplantae; Streptophyta; Magnoliopsida; Poales; Poaceae. The record is from RNAcentral.
AUUCGAUCGGCCUCUUCUUGGGCGAUAUGAGCUUGGAUACUAUCAAGCCUGGCUCGGUAGCUUUGGUGUCGUAGUUUCAAUUGCUCGGGCAUCAAUGACACAUGAUUUUAUCCCUUAUGGACAACAUCUCCUCAUGCGGUCAGCAGCUAGGGUGGAGGUGUUGCUUUCCACCCUACGGCAGGCAGGGAACCUGCACGCAAGCGCCUCCUGUGCUGAGGAGAAGGAGCGUGAGCUCGCUGAGCUUUGUUCCAAGGCCGAGCGGCUUGAGGACGAGGAGACUAGCUUGUGCUCAGAGUGUGUUGAUGCCCGGAGCGACGUCGACCGUCUUCGGGAAGAAGGAUCCCGGUUGUAAGGGACCCUCCGCGAGAUGAGUAUGCGAGCUAAGGAGGCCAAGUCAUCCCUUAAGGAGGCUAAUGCCUGCCUGGAGAAGGUGGACACAGAGCUCUUGAAAGAGCGCAACAUAGCUAAGGAGCUCUAGAAGAUGUUCUCCCGAGUCCCAGAGGCCUUGAAGGCGACGGCGGAGGCGAAGGCAAUGGUGGAGGCCAAGAUGCGAGAGCUUUCAUAGGCUCGUGAUGAUGUCGUUGCUACGACUGGCCAGGUGGUGGUCAAGCUCUCAGAAUGGAGCACUGAGCUCCAGGAUUUUUGUCUGGUUGUCGGUAGGUUGUGCACCCAUCUCUCGUGCCUGCCCCCGAUAGAGGUACCCUUGAUCGACACUUGUGAGUGUUACCUAGCCAUGUGGAGCAUGUCAUAGUCGAAG